AAAGGAUUAUGCUUCGCUGAACUUGACCAAGCGAUGUCCGUUUAAGGCCAUUACAGAUUAGAACGCUUUUACCUGCCUUUGGUGCGUUUUAGAAUGGCCUACCGCGGUCCGCGGCCAUCUGAGUAAGGUGCUUGUGAGUGAGCUGGCUCAAGCUGGAUGUGUUUUUUUUUAUAUAUAUAUAAUUUUAUUCUUCCAGACCUCAUCGUUGGUUAAUUUGGUACUUUAAUCCCUCUAUUAUUUCUCAAAUCUCAAUAAUAUUUUUUAUUAUAAUAAAAAAAAUAAAAUUAACCUUUAAAAUAUAAUUAUUUAUGAUUAUUUAUAAUUAUAUACUAAACAUAUUAAAAAAAAAA
This 350-nucleotide unclassified non-coding RNA is filed under the name Hevea brasiliensis (rubber tree). Lineage: Eukaryota; Viridiplantae; Streptophyta; Magnoliopsida; Malpighiales; Euphorbiaceae. The record is from RNAcentral.